GGAUCCAGACUUUGAUCAUGGCUCAGGAUGAACGCUAGCUACAGGCUUAACACAUGCAAGUCGAGGGGAAACGAUAUUGGAAGCUUGCUUCCGAUAGGCGUCGACCGGCGCACGGGUGAGUAACGCGUAUCCAACCUGCCCAUCACUUGGGGAUAACCUUGCGAAAGUAAGACUAAUACCCAAUGACGUCUCUAGAAGACAUCUGAAAGAGAUUAAAGAUUUAUCGGUGAUGGAUGGGGAUGCGUCUGAUUAGCUUGUUGGCGGGGUAACGGCCCACCAAGGCAACGAUCAGUAGGGGUUCUGAGAGGAAGGUCCCCCACAUUGGAACUGAGACACGGUCCAAACUCCUACGGGAGGCAGCAGUGAGGAAUAUUGGUCAAUGGACGAGAGUCUGAACCAGCCAAGUAGCGUGCAGGAUGACGGCCCUAUGGGUUGUAAACUGCUUUUAUAAGGGAAUAAAGUGAGUCUCGUGAGACUUUUUGCAUGUACCUUAUGAAUAAGGACCGGCUAAUUCCGUGCCAGCAGCCGCGGUAAUACGGAAGGUCCGGGCGUUAUCCGGAUUUAUUGGGUUUAAAGGGAGCGUAGGCCGGAGAUUAAGCGUGUUGUGAAAUGUAGACGCUCAACGUCUGCACUGCAGCGCGAACUGGUUUCCUUGAGUACGCACAAAGUGGGCGGAAUUCGUGGUGUAGCGGUGAAAUGCUUAGAUAUCACGAAGAACUCCGAUUGCGAAGGCAGCUCACUGGAGCGCAACUGACGCUGAAGCUCGAAAGUGCGGGUAUCGAACAGGAUUAGAUACCCUGGUAGUCCGCACGGUAAACGAUGGAUGCCCGCUGUUGGUCUGAAUAGGUCAGCGGCCAAGCGAAAGCAUUAAGCAUCCCACCUGGGGAGUACGCCGGCAACGGUGCAACUCAAAGGAAUUGACGG
RNAcentral lists this ribosomal RNA (924 nucleotides) under uncultured Bacteroidota bacterium. Its description in RNAcentral is "bacterial SSU rRNA". It matches the Rfam family "Bacterial small subunit ribosomal RNA", at positions 1 to 916 of the family's 1533-position model. The record is from RNAcentral. Lineage: Bacteria; Pseudomonadati; Bacteroidota.